UCGUCCGCCUCAUCUCACCCAUCCGUCCAUCUUUCCACCCUCAUCUCAUCCGUCCUUCACCUAGUCCACCCUCCAGGGCCUGACGCCUGGGGGAAACGCUCCUGAGCGAGUGCGGGAAGAACCGACGGGCGGCUCGCAGCGGGGGAGGCGGGGGCAGAGGCCGCCGGGGGACGGGGUGCAUCCCCCUCCUCCACUUCCCCUUCCAAGGGGAGGGGCACCACGCGCCCACGCAGCACACAGCCCGGCGCUGGACGCCAAAACCCGGCCCGGCCCGGCGUGACCCUCCCCCAACUCGGAGGGGGGAGGCACAGGCCGCAUUAGGCAAAAGAGCAGUGCUUGGCCCCCACCAUGGGGGGGCCAGCGCACACCUCGCACAAGGGCGGCUCUUGCCCACACACUGUGGCAAGUAGGCAGCUACUGCCUGCAGACUUCAGAGGAGUAGCUGAAGUCCAGGUACCCCAAGGCCCCCCUCUGAGAGCGCUAGAGAAGACUUUCUCACCGAGGGAUGCGAAGCAUGGCAGCGAGGGAGGCCUCCCCCCCACUUUGGGGAGGGACCGCUCGCAAGGCACACGCCAAGGCGGCAAAGCGAGAAUGCCUGCUGCGUCCCAAAGGACCCAGGCCCCCCCCCUGACUGACACCAGAAGGCAGCAGGGCGGGAGACCAGAGGUCAGGCCAGAGGCCGCACCCCUAUCUUCCCCCACAACACCCGCAGGUGGGGGAGGAGCAGCGAGGGGCCCGCGGACAGAAUGAGAGGUGCGGCCUAGCUCACCGUGAGAGGCUGUCCCUCAUCUGGCGUGGCUUAGGCCCAAGCCCAGGAGAGCGCCACAUCACCACAUUGAUGUAAACCUUUUUUUUUAAUCAUUUCAUAAUUAUGUUGGUUGACUUGUCUGUGAUUCUGAUCUUACAAGGAGAUGAAACUCUUUGUAGCAGUGGGUGAGC
Molecule: long non-coding RNA, 939 nt
Filed under: Sus scrofa (pig)
Lineage: Eukaryota; Metazoa; Chordata; Mammalia; Artiodactyla; Suidae
Description: lncRNA (ENSSSCG00015007726.1)
Source: RNAcentral